RNAcentral lists this ribosomal RNA (482 nucleotides) under uncultured bacterium. RNAcentral describes it as "partial 16S ribosomal RNA". It matches the Rfam family "Bacterial small subunit ribosomal RNA", at positions 30 to 507 of the family's 1533-position model. The record is from RNAcentral.
AUUGAACGCUGGCGGCAUGCCUUACACAUGCAAGUCGAACGGUAACAGGUCUUCGGAUGCUGACGAGUGGCGAACGGGUGAGUAAUACAUCGGAACGUGCCCGAUCGUGGGGGAUAACGAAGCGAAAGCUUUGCUAAUACCGCAUACGAUCUACGGAUGAAAGCAGGGGACCGCAAGGCCUUGCGCGAACGGAGCGGCCGAUGGCAGAUUAGGUAGUUGGUGGGAUAAAAGCUUACCAAGCCGACGAUCUGUAGCUGGUCUGAGAGGACGACCAGCCACACUGGGACUGAGACACGGCCCAGACUCCUACGGGAGGCAGCAGUGGGGAAUUUUGGACAAUGGGCGAAAGCCUGAUCCAGUCAUGCCGCGUGCAGGAUGAAGGCCUUCGGGUUGUAAACUGCUUUUGUACGGAACGAAAAGACUCUGGUUAAUACCUGAGGUCCAUGACGGUACCGUAAGAAUAAGCACCGGCUAACUACGUG